This 253-nucleotide ribosomal RNA is filed under the name uncultured bacterium. RNAcentral's name for it is "partial 16S ribosomal RNA". It matches the Rfam family "Bacterial small subunit ribosomal RNA", at positions 524 to 776 of the family's 1533-position model. The record is from RNAcentral.
UACGUAGGGGGCAAGCGUUGUUCGGAAUUACUGGGCGUAAAGGGCUCGUAGGCGGCCAACUAAGUCAUACGUGAAAUCCCUCGGCUUAACCGGGGAACUGCGUCUGAUACUGGAUGGCUAGAGAUUGGGAGAGGGAUGCGGAAUUCCAGGUGUAGCGGUGAAAUGCGUAGAUAUCUGGAGGAAUACCGGUGGCGAAGGCGGCAUCCUGGACCGACAUUGACGCUGAACGGCGAAAGCUAGGGGAGCAAACGGG